AGUGAACGCUGGCGGUAGGCCUAACACAUGCAAGUCGAACGGCAGCACAGUAAGAGCUUGCUCUUACGGGUGGCGAGUGGCGGACGGGUGAGGAAUACAUCGGAAUCUACUUUUUCGUGGGGGAUAACGUAGGGAAACUUACGCUAGUACCGCAUACGACCUACGGGUGAAAGCAGGGGAUCUUCUGACCUUGCGCGAUUGAAUGAGCCGAUGUCGGAUUAGCUAGUUGGCGGGGUAAAGGCCCACCAAGGCGACGAUCCGUAGCUGGUCUGAGAGGAUGAUCAGCCACACUGGAACUGAGACACGGUCCAGACUCCUACGGGAGGCAGCAGUGGGGAAUAUUGGACAAUGGGCGCAAGCCUGAUCCAGCCAUACCGCGUGGGUGAAGAAGGCCUUCGGGUUGUAAAGCCCUUUUGUUGGGAAAGAAAAGCAGCAGGUUAAUACCCCGCUGUUCUGACGGUACCCAAAGAAUAAGCACCGGCUAACUUCGUG
This 492-nucleotide ribosomal RNA is filed under the name uncultured bacterium. RNAcentral's name for it is "partial 16S ribosomal RNA". It matches the Rfam family "Bacterial small subunit ribosomal RNA", at positions 29 to 507 of the family's 1533-position model. The record is from RNAcentral.